CCUUAGUAGCGGCGAGUGAAGCGGCAAAAGCUCAAAUUUGAAAUCUGGCACUUUCAGUGUCCGAGUUGUAAUUUGAAGAAGGUAUCUUUGGGUCUGGCUCUUGUCUAUGUUUCUUGGAACAGAACGUCACAGAGGGUGAGAAUCCCGUGCGAUGAGAUGUCCCAGACCUAUGUAAAGUUCCUUCGAAGAGUCGAGUUGUUUGGGAAUGCAGCUCUAAGUGGGUGGUAAAUUCCAUCUAAAGCUAAAUAUUGGCGAGAGACCGAUAGCGAACAAGUACAGUGAUGGAAAGAUGAAAAGAACUUUGAAAAGAGAGUGAAAAAGUACGUGAAAUUGUUGAAAGGGAAGGGCUUGAGAUCAGACUUGGUAUUUUGUAUGUUACUCUCUCGGGGGUGGCCUCUACAGUUUACCGGGCCAGCAUCAGUUUGAGCGGUAGGAUAAGUGCAAAGAAAUGUGGCACUGCUUCGGUAGUGUGUUAUAGUCUUUGUCGAUACUGCCAGCUUAGACUGAGGACUGCGGCUUCGGCCUAGGAUGUUGGCAUAAUGAUCUUAAGUCGCCCGUCUUGAAACACGGACCAAGGAGUCUAACGUCUAUGCGAGUGUUUGGGUGUAAAACCCGUACGCGUAAUGAAAGUGAACGUAGGUAGGACCUCCUUUAGGAGUGCACUAUCGACCGAUCCUGAUGUCUUCGGAUGGAUUUGAGUAAGAGCAUA
This 709-nucleotide ribosomal RNA is filed under the name Lodderomyces parapsilosis. Its description in RNAcentral is "Candida parapsilosis partial large subunit ribosomal RNA". It matches the Rfam family "Eukaryotic large subunit ribosomal RNA", at positions 78 to 804 of the family's 3401-position model. The record is from RNAcentral. Lineage: Eukaryota; Fungi; Ascomycota; Pichiomycetes; Serinales; Debaryomycetaceae.